GUGUCAGCCGCCGCGGUAAUACGUAGGGGGCGAGCGUUGUCCGGAAUUACUGGGCGUAAAGCGCGCGCAGGCGGUCGGCCAAGUCCGGCGUGAAAGCCCCCGGCUCAACUGGGGAGGGUCGUUGGAAACUGGUCGACUGGAGGACAGGAGAGGAGCAUGGAAUUCCCGGUGUAGUGGUGAAAUGCGUAGAGAUCGGGAGGAACACCAGUGGCGAAAGCGGUGCUCUGGCCUGCCCCUGACGCUGAGGCGCGAAAGCGUGGGGAGCGAACGGGAUUAGAAACCCCCGUAGUCC
Molecule: ribosomal RNA, 292 nt
Filed under: uncultured bacterium
Lineage: Bacteria
Description: partial 16S ribosomal RNA
Rfam family: Bacterial small subunit ribosomal RNA
Source: RNAcentral